Long non-coding RNA from Acanthochromis polyacanthus (spiny chromis), 1632 nucleotides. RefSeq lists it as uncharacterized. The record is from RefSeq and is a predicted model, not a curated record. The transcript is spliced from 4 exons. Lineage: Eukaryota; Metazoa; Chordata; Actinopteri; Pomacentridae.
UUUUAUUAUGAAGCAGUAAAAGCAGGAAAUGCUGCGUUUUCAUUAGCAGUAACUUAACAUGACUAAUGCAGCUGAAAGCUAAAGUGAGAGUAAAUAAGUAAACAUCUUAAAGUACAAAGAGCAUCACAGGAGAGAAACUAAAUUUCAAAGCACAACAAUUCAGUUAGAAGCAACAAAAAUACUGAGAGCUGAAGAGACUUCAAAACAUCUCUGCUUUCCUCUGCUCUGCACACAUGGGAGCUGAGUCUCAGAGCACAUCAGGGGAUAAAGGAGAAACGUCGGCUACUGACGGUGGGAAAAGGAUAUCACAGAGGGUGGAAUGCCACCCAGAUAGCACCUGUUCAUCUAUGUGAAGUUGAAGACCAGUCUGACAGAUGAGGAAGCACAUGUUACAGAGAACGUACCUCAAGGAAGUGAUGUCAUUGAUGCAGACCAAAGUGAGGAUGUACCUGAAGUAGAUUAUGGGAUUGAUGCAGACCAAGGGUGAUGUGCGAUUCAAGAUUGCUGUCGAUCAGGAAGUUGUUAAUGACCACAUCUACUCUCCUGUUGUGGCCCUGAGCUACACUUUCUCCUUGUUUUAUGUCUUAAACAUAAAAUACCCAAAGGAGAUGUCACUUACCCUGGAAUUCAUACAGAGAGUUCUCCUGGGAAUAAAUCCUGAACGAGGGUCCAAAGCUGAGAAAAAGGGAACGAAACAGCGACACAUUCCUCCAAGACUGCUGAAGUUCCUGUAUGAACGGAACAACUUUGAAAGUCCAUGGACAAUUUGAGCUUCUUUUCAAAGCUCAAAAUGGAAGUUGUCAGACUGAACAUGGAGACGAAAAAUAAAACUGGAGGCUGUACUCGGUAACUUUCUCACACUGACGUAUGCAGAGAGGUACCAGCAGCACACGCUCAUACAUGAGAGCCCUGCUUCUCACUGCAUGCUUGGAGAAGAGGUGAAUAACCCAACUUAAAAAAACAUUAAAUGUUCUGUUCAUGGAAUUGGCAAAAACAUUGAAUUGUUUGGUAUUGAUGGUGACAAUCAUCUUUUUUCUUGUAUUGUUUUUUGUCAUGUAUUUGAAAAUGAAUUGAAGUGGUUUGCAGUUAAUUUCAUCGUUAACUAAUAAUUCAUUGUUGCAGCUCUAUUUAAUGCAUUGUGACUCCCUUUGGUGCCACACACGAUUUCACAGUUACAGUGCUCGUUAUUGAAUGCAUCUUCAUUCCCAUGUUUUGUUUUGUCUUGUUGUACUCUGUUGCUUUAUAAAGCAAAAGAAAAAACCUCUUAUACAAAGAAAGGGAUGGCAUUUUAGGCUGAUACCAACAGUUAAUUUAAAGCCUUUAUCGGCAUAGUGUGUUGAUAUUAUCAUGCAUCCCUGAUCUGAACAUUGUUUAAUGAAGUGUCAUGUCAGUGUUUAAACCAUUUUAAUGACAUUUUUUUAAUUUUAAGAAAAUGUUCAUGAGGAAAUACUCAAUGAAUGCACUUUUAUGGAACGAUGUUUACAAAAAGAAAAGUUGUUCAAGAAAAACUAAACAUGCUCAGUUUGCUUGUAUUGUGGUGGAUUUGUGUGACCAUGUUAUUCAUCACUUUAGAACACUGCAGUGGUCUGGUGAUGGACAGCAGUCAUGAAUAAAUUUCAACAUUGUUUCCAA